GAUUUAAAAAAGAAAUUCUGUUUCUAUUUAAAAACCGAAUAUAUUUUGAUUUUAAAAAGUGUUUUAUUUUUGUUCCGAUUAUAAACUGAUUUGAAACGGAAACCCGUUUCAGAUUAUUAGAAACUGAUAUAUUUUGGUUACUAACUUGAAACAAAUUUAGAAACCGAAGUUGUUCAGUAUCUAAUUUUGGAACGAAAAUAUCAAUUUCAAAUUGGUUUCAGAAUUAGAAACGGACGUCAUAUUCCGUUUUUAAUUUAUUUAGAAACCUACGAAUUGUAAACCGACUAUUUCGAUUUCAAAUCGAUUUCUAACUGAAAUUAAAAAUCAAUUUUGAAUGUUUUGAAACCGAAUUUUUGGUUACUAAUAUUCUUUUUUCUUGUAGUGCUUAGUAUUCCUCAUAAGCCUAUGGCUAUUGAGAUGAACAAUAUAUUAAUUGUAUGAUAUGACUGUAUGUUUUUAUAAAAUAUGUUUUGUGACUUCUGAAGUGAAAAAUUAUUUGAUUAAAAUUUUAAAUUGUGUUUUGUAUCUGUGUACCAUUUUCAGACCAUAUUGGAAUAAUUGUGAUUUAAAUUAUGCAUAAAUUAGUAUUUUUAGUAUGUUGUGCACCACUGAAUCCUAGUACUCAGCGAUGCCUGUUAUUGCUGUCGCAGAUAUAGAGACUAGAGGAGCAGCAGAGUGAGCUGCUGAGGAUUGAGGAGCUACCUACUUUGAAGUUAUAGGGUAUAUUUUAUACCCUGAAUGUAAAAACUAUUUUGAUAUAUGUAAAUGUAUGUAACUGUAUGGACAUGUAAAAUUGGUUAUGAGCAGUUGUAUAAAGUUGUAUAGAGUUGUAUAAAGCUUGUAAUAAAUUUUGGUUUGGAUUUCUCUUAAUGUAAAUUUUUGUAAUGAUGUAUAUAAAUUGUUUUAUCUUUAAUGAAAUAUGAAUGAAUGAAAUUGAUUGACA
Molecule: unclassified non-coding RNA, 943 nt
Filed under: Hevea brasiliensis (rubber tree)
Lineage: Eukaryota; Viridiplantae; Streptophyta; Magnoliopsida; Malpighiales; Euphorbiaceae
Source: RNAcentral